CCUACGGGUGGCUGCAGUGGGGAAUCUUGCGCAAUGCGCGAAAGCGUGACGCAGCAACGCCGCGUGGGGGAAGACGGCCUUCGGGUUGUAAACCCCUUUCAGGAGGGACGAAGGUGUGGCGGUUAAUAGCUGUCCGCACUGACGGUACCUCCACAAGAAGCUCCGGCUAACUACGUGCCAGCAGCCGCGGUAAUACGUAGGGAGCAAGCGUUGUCCGGAAUCAUUGGGCGUAAAGCGCGCGUAGGCGGCCCGGUAAGUCCGCUGUGAAAGUCCAG
RNAcentral lists this ribosomal RNA (275 nucleotides) under uncultured bacterium. RNAcentral's name for it is "partial 16S ribosomal RNA". It matches the Rfam family "Bacterial small subunit ribosomal RNA", at positions 338 to 605 of the family's 1533-position model. The record is from RNAcentral.